GCUCCUUAUUGGGUCGGAUUCAUAUCCGCUUCUGCCUGCCUGGGAGGGAAAACGAAAACUGAAAAGCUUCGACAACGACGUCAAUGGCGAACUUGUCAAGCUUAGUUCACGAACUCCGUGAACGAAUCGCUGCAUCAUCUUCAACACCUCCUAACAAAUCAGACGAUUCCUCUUUAGAGCUCCGAUUUCGUACUGUUAUCCCCAAUCUCCUCCACGCCUACGUCGUUCCGUCUUCUUCAGCAAAUGAGAGGGAGGUGAUUGCUAUAUUGAAGUUACUGACUCAUACAGUCAAGAAUUUUCCAGGAGUUUUCUUUCAUGGAAAGGCCAGUGCAAUUUUACCAAUCAUUUGUCGUAUUAUACCUUUCUUUGCCGAACCCUCAUUCUGCGCUCGUCAUGGAAUAAUCUUUGAAACACUCGGAUCACUUCUAUCCUUGCUCCGUACAGGAGAUCGAGAUGCAUAUCGUCAGUUUUUUGAAGAUGUCAUGGCAGUGGUUGAAGAUGUCCUGACUAUAGCAUCAGUAUCAAAUAACACAAGCGAACCAGAGCUGGAAGUGUCUCUGAGGUGCUUCAGUGGGUCCCUAUCUGGAAUUUCCCCCGACUCUAUUGUCCUUGGUGAUAUCCCAGUAUGCAACAAUUCGGUUGAUGGUAUUGGUAUUAUGAUCAACCUCACGGGACAUACUAGGUGGCAGCCUUUUGCUACUUGGAUUAUUAGAGUUUCUUGUAAAUGCUUGACCGAAGGAGCUCUAAAUGUGGAAGGGCUAGUAAAUGUGCCAUUUGUUUUGGCUGCAUGCAAGCUACUGUGCUAUGGAGAUGCUGCUCUGCAAAUGGCUUGCUUCGACUUGGUGCGCAUCUUGGGAGCAAUAUUAAGUAGUGACAUCAUUCCUAGUGAAAACAUGAUUAUGUUGAUAUCCACCAUACUAAGCGAAGUGGAGGAUGGGCUCCCUGUGUUCAGAGACAUAAUGUACGAUGCUUCCUUGGGUGGAUGUCUUCAGUCACUAUAUUCUUGUUGUGCUGAUGAUGUUAUCAAGCUGACAGCUGGUGAUAUAGUCAGUGUCUUUUCGGAGUCAAUGCAGAAGACUAGAAGUCCUGAUCUCAAGGCUGCAUUAUGUGGUGCAUAUGUUCGAAUUGCGAAACUAUGCCCCCUUCAUAUCUGGAAGCCUGAAUUACUAUUGAAUAUUCUUUGUUCUCCAAAACCUUAUUAUGGGUUGGUUGAUUGCUUUGAAGUGGCUCUAUCUAUUCUUGAUCCUUAUCUUGUUGGAGAGACGGAUAACGGACAAGACUGUUCAUACGCGUCACUAUCAGUAACCAGUGGAUGUGAACCAGGAAGCAUUGGAGAAAAAAGACCACUUCAUCCUCCAGAUGUUCUAAAUGCUAAGCGACAAAAAUUAGACAACUCUGAAAAUUUCAAGCCCACUUCAGAAAAUUAUUCAAAAAUGGAAUAUGCUGAACAUGUGUGGUCUUCACUUCUUUCUUUUAUUGAAUACCUAGAACCGCCAGGUGGCCAAGCGAACGUGUUAGAAAAACCAGAAACUUAUUUGACAGCUCUUAGCAUGCUCUGCAUUGUUUUGUGCAAAUACCCUCGUACGAAACUGUCACAUCAAAUCUCUCGCCAGAUGCUUGGAUGGAUUCCUUGGAUUUGUGAGCAGGCAAAGCAAGAAAAACUAACUGGAGUGGAUUUACCUAUCUAUCUUGAAGCACUUAGCUGCUUACUGCUAAAACAGAGGUUUCUUUACGUGAAAGAUGAACAUUUUAGAGACGGUGGUAAUGCUGCAAAUUUAGUGCAGUUAGUGUUGAAGAUCUGUUGGGAUCAUCAUCCUUCAUGGAAAACAAAAUGUCUCUGCCUUAAGAUUAUUCCGUUGAUGGGAUGUUUUCCUCAAAGUGGGAGUGAUUUAGGUAUAUUGGACUUGGGUCUUCAGGAUGAAGCAGAAGACGUUAGAAGUGAAGCCGUCAUUGCUAUGCCGUUGAUUGCCCUUCUGUUCAGAUUUGAUACCCUGCCACAGAUUGUUAAGAGAUUAGAGUGUCUGUCAAAAGAGAAGAAUGAGAAAGUUAAGAAAUCCAUAACCAUCUCUCUCGGUUAUUUGGCAUGUCUAUGCGGAUCUUGUCAUGACACAAAAAGUUCUUUUGAAAACAACUGCAAAUUAUUCUUAAAAGAAAACAACAAACAGAGUUGGGCCUGGGAUCAGCUAUCGCGAGGAUUUUGGUGCUCAACGUGUGACAAAAAUGCCAUUCACGACCAUGAAUCGUUUUCAGUAAUACCCCAACUCCAAAAUAUGUUGGAUUGUGAUUAUUCAUGUCUUACCCGACUCUUUUUCACUCUUGUUUACGAUGAAUCUGAAGAAGUUCAGAUCUCAUGUGUGGCAAUAGUCGGGCGGAUCCUCUUCCACAUGGAUCUAAAUACUUUACAUGAAACAGAAAUCGAGUGGAUAAAAGCAUUUGAUUACCUACUGCUUCAUCGAAAAAAGUCUGUGAGAGAAGCAUUCAGUGGACAGAUUGGCUGUUUCGUUGAGCAUCAUAUACUUUCUGGUUUGUUUCUCAAUGAGCAUAUAUUUUUUGAUAAGAUUAAAAAUGGGUGUGAAGCAGCGAAUGAUCCAGAAGUAUUUGAAACUCUUCUAGAAGCAACAGCAGGUAUCAUGGUUGCAGCAGAUAUAAAUGGUCAACUCUUCUUAUCUUCUCUCCUUUUAUUGCUUGAUCAACUUGACAAUCCAUAUGUGACUGUGAGAAUGUGUGCAUCUAAAAUGAUACACAGAUCUUGCUUCUUCCAUCUUAAUGGAGGUUUGAAGCAAAUUCUUGCUAAAUCUAUUCAUAUACGCAACAAAGUAUACGGUUAUCUAUCAUUGCGGCUUGCUAAUAGACCAAAAAUGGUUGAAGAAUUUGCAGCAACUCUUCUUGAGGUUAAAGCUACAGAACUUGUUAAAAAAAUGGUUCCUGUGGUUCUUCCAAAGCUUGUGAUUGCUCAGGAGGAUGAUGAUAAAGCUGUGGUUACCUUAUUUGAGUUGGCCAAAUGGUUGAAUACAGAUAUGGUUCAACUUAUAGUCAACUGGCUACCAAAAGUUCUUGCUUAUGCUCUUUAUCAAGCAGAUGGGCACAAAUUAGACUGUGCUUUGCAGUUUUAUCGUGAUCAGACAGGCUCUGAUAAGAAAGAAAUAUUUGCAGCUGCUUUACCUGCGCUUUUGGAUGAACUCAUCUGUUCUGUGGAUGUUGAUGAUUCCGUUGAUAACAGCAUAAGGUUAUCAAGGGUGCCUCAAAUGAUUAAAGAAAUUGCAAAAAUUUUGACAGGAGAUGAGGAUCUUCCGGGAUUUUUAAAGAAUCAUUUUGUUGGUCUUCUUAACAGCAUUGACCGGAAGAUGCUUCACGCAGAUGAUAUUUCACUUCAAAUACAAGCAACUAAACGUAUAGAAAUGUUGAUCAAUAUGAUGGGUUCCCACCUCAGCACAUAUGUACCAAAACUCAUGGUUCUUCUUAUGCAUGCAAUUGAUAAAGAACCCUUGCAGAGUGACGGGCUUGCUGUCUUACAUUGUUUUAUUAAACAAUUGGUCAAAGUAUCCCCUUCUAGCACUAAACAUGUAAUAUCUCAGGUUUUUGCUGCACUUAUCCCCUUACUUGAGAAACAAAAGGAACGUUCUUCUUUGCAUAUGAUCGAAAUUGUUAAAAUUCUCGAAGAACUUGUUUUCAAGAAUAAAUCGGUUCUAAAACAUAAUAUCUAUGAAUUUCCUCCUCUGCCCAACAUUCCCGCCCUUGCAGAAGUGAACAAAGUAAUAGAUGAAGCACGUGGGGCCAUGUCUCUAAAGGAUCAGUUGCUAGAUAUUGUUGAGGGUUUGAACCAUGAAAACUUAAAUGUUAGGUAUAUGGUAGCCUGUGAGUUAAGUAAACUGCUAAAACUGAAAAGGGAUGAUGUCACAGUUAUGGUUAACGGGGAAGGAGAUUCAGAUAUAGACGUUUUGAGCUCGUUGAUUACAUCUUUACUUAGAGGUUGUGCAGAAGAAUCUAGAACUGCAGUUGGACAACGGCUAAAGUUGGUAUGUGCUGAUUGUCUAGGAUUGCUUGGAGCCGUUGAUCCUGCCAAAGUUAAAGGGUCAUCAAAUCAACGAUUCAAAAUCGCGUGUUCAGAUGACGAUUUAAUCUUCGAGUUGAUUCAUAAGCAUUUGGCUCGGGCUUUUAGAGCAGCACCCGACACCAUAAUUCAAGAUUCAGCUGCUCUAGCUAUCCAGGAGCUGUUAAAGAUUGCUGGUUGUGAGGCAUCUCUUGAUGAGAACGUUUCAACUUCUCGGAUUGCAAAAGUCAACGAGUCAACUAAGAUGGAAGGGAGGGGUCAGAGAUUAUGGGACCGGUUUUCUAAUUAUGUUAAAGAGAUAAUUGCUCCUUGUUUAACCUCGAGGUUCCAGCUUCCAAGUGUUUCCGAUUCUUCAUCUUCUGGUCCUAUUUACCGGCCUUCUUUGUCGUUCCGUAGAUGGAUCUUCAAUUGGGUCAAAAAACUUAUUGUGCAUGCAAACGGUUCAAGAGCAAGCAUUUUUAAUGCUUGUCGAGGUAUUGUACGCCAUGAUAUGCAAACCGCAACAUAUCUGCUACCAUACUUGGUAUUAGAUACUGUAUUACAUGGUACCGAGGAGGCCCGACAUGGAAUAACUGAAGAAAUUCUUUCAGUUCUUAAUGCUGCAGCUUCUGAGAAUAGUUCUGGUCAAAGUGAAGUUUGCAUUCAAGCUAUUUUUACUCUUCUCGAUAAUCUUGGACAGUGGGUCGAUGAUAUCGGACAAGAACUUGCACUAUCUCAGUCCAAUUCAAAGCAGAAAUUAAAGGAUCAUGGUGCAAAUUACUCAAUGGAUUUAGACCACUUAUCUCUGCAGUGCAAACAUGUCUCAGAGCUUUUGUAUGCGAUCCCAAAAGUGACCCUUGCUACGGCCUCAUUUAGGUGUCAGGCUUAUGCUCGGUCUUUGUUGUACUUUGAGUGUCACGUGCGUGAAAAGUCAGGAUCGUUCAAUCCAUCGGCUGAAAAGAGUGGGGUUUUUGAGGAUGAAGAUGUAUCAUUUUUAAUGGAAAUCUACAGUGGUCUGGACGAGCCAGAUGGUUUGUCGGGUUUGGCAUCUCUACGUAAAUCAAAAAGCUUGCAAGAUCAGCUUCGAAUUAAUAAAAAAGCUGGAAACUGGGCUGAAGUUUUGACAUCUUGCGAACAGGCUUUACAGAUGGAAUCGACUUCUGUUCAGAGGCAUUCAGAUGUCCUUAAUUGCUUGAUCAAUAUGUGUCAUUUACAGGCAGUGGUUACGCAUGUUGAUGGAUUAAUAUCUCGGAUUCCUCAAUACAAAAAGACAUGGUGUAUGCAAGGGGUUCAGGCAGCUUGGAGGCUUGGCAGAUGGGACUUAACUGAUGAGUAUCUUGACGGUGCUGAUGAAGAAGGUUUACUUUGUAGUAGCUCAGAGAGUAAUGCUUCAUUCGACAUGGAUGUUGCUAAGAUCCUUAGAGCAAUGAGGAUGAAAGAUCAGUUUUCUGUUGGUGAGAAAAUUGCAUUAUCAAAACAAGCUCUCAUAGCUCCUCUAGCUGCUGCUGGCAUGGAUUCAUACACACGAGCGUACCCUUAUGUUGUCAAGCUUCACGUGCUACAGGAACUUGAGGAUUUUCAUUCUAUUCUUAAUGGUGAAUCUUUCUUGGAAAAGUCAUGCGUUGGUCAACCAGACUUCUUCAAAGUAACCGAAAACUGGGACAACCGACUCAGAUUCACCCAACCGUCUCUCUGGACACGCGAACCACUUUUGGCUUUUCGGAGACUGGUUUUUGGGGCGAGUGGUCUUGGUGGUCAAGUUGGAAACUGUUGGAUACAGUAUGCAAAGCUCUGCCGUUCGGCUGGUCACUAUGAGACUGCUAACCGAGCCAUUUUAGAAGCCAUGGCAUCAGGUGCAGCUAAUGUUCACAUGGAAAAGGCUAAGCUUUUAUGGAGCACGAGACGGUCUGAUGGUGCUAUAGCGGAGUUGCAGCAAUCACUAAUAAACAUGCCUGUUGAAGUGAUCGGCUCUGCUGCAAUGUCAUCAAUUACUAGCCUUUCAUUGGUUCCUUUAAACCAACCACCUUUACCUUGCAACACUCAAACAUCAAAUGAGAAUCGUGAUGUUGCGAAAACACUUUUGCUAUAUUCGAGGUGGAUUCAUUAUACUGGACUGAAGCAGAAGGAAGACGUGAUUGGUCUUUUUGCUAGGGUGAGAGAACUGCAGCCCAGAUGGGAGAAAGGGUAUUUUUAUGCAGCUAAGUAUUGUGAUGAGGUGCUUGUUGAUGCAAGAAAACGACAAGAAGAAACUUCUGAUGUGGGUCCCAGGAUGAUGGGCUCUUCAACUUCUAAUACCUUGUCUUCUAGAGGUUCUAAUGCUGAAAAGCCUUGGUUGUACUUAGUUCCUGACGUCUUGUUAUUCUAUGCUAAGGGGCUUCAUAGAGGCCAUAAGAAUCUCUUUCAAGCCCUUCCGAGGUUGUUGACACUAUGGUUCGAGUUCGGUAGCAUUUAUCAGAGGAAAGGUUCGUCAUCCCAUAAAGAUUUGAAAGCUGCUCACGGGAAGGUGAUGGGCAUUAUGCGUGGGUGUUUGAAAGACUUGCCUACCUACCAAUGGCUGACAGUUCUACCUCAAUUGGUUUCAAGAAUCUGCCACCAAAAUGAUGAAAUUGUGCGACUGGUCAAAGCCAUAAUCACCUCUGUUCUUCAGCAAUAUACACAACAAGCUCUUUGGAUUAUGGCAGCUGUUUCAAAAUCAACAGUUCCUUCAAGACGCGAAGCGGCUGCAGAGAUUAUAAAUAAUGCACGAAAAGGGUUCAAUCAAGGAGCACCUAACACUUUGUUUAGUCAGUUUGCCAGCCUAAUUGACCAUUUAAUUAGGCUAUGCUUUCAUGCAAGUCAAUCCAGGUCAGCAACAAUCAACAUUUCUACCGAAUUUAGUGCCCUCAAAAGGAUGAUGCCAUUGGAAAUUAUUAUGCCUACUCUAGGUUCAAUUAACGUUAAUCUCCCCACUUAUGGUACAAGUACAACAGGAUUUUUCUCAGCUACCGAUCUUCCUACUAUUACGGGAAUAGCAGAUGAAGCUGAGGUUCUUUCAUCACUUCAACGGCCAAAAAAGAUUAUUCUACUAGGAAGCGAUGGUGUGAAGCGGCCAUUCUUGUGCAAACCAAAGGAUGACCUCAGGAAAGAUGCAAGAAUGAUGGAGUUCAACGCGAUGAUAAAUCGGUUAUUAUCCAAGUGCCCGGAAAGCCGUAGAAGGAAGCUUUAUUUGCGUACAUUUGCUGUGAUUCCAUUAACAGAGGAUUGUGGGAUGGUAGAAUGGGUCCCACACACCCGUGGCCUUCGACAUAUUCUUCAAGACAUAUAUAUAAGCUGUGGCAAGUUUGAUCGGCAGAAGACUAACCCUCAAAUCAAGCGUAUAUACGAUCAAUGCCAGGGUAAAAUGGCUGAAGAUGAGAUGUUGAAGAAUAAAAUUCUUCCCAUGUUCCCCCCUGCUUUCCACAAGUGGUUUUUAAACACCUUUUCCGAACCUGCAGCUUGGUUUAGGGCACGUGUUGCUUAUGCACACACUACUGCUGUUUGGUCAAUGGUUGGGCAUAUCGUUGGCCUUGGAGACCGUCAUGGAGAAAAUAUUCUUUUUGACUCAACCACAGGUGACUGUGUUCAUGUUGAUUUCAGUUGCUUAUUUGACAAAGGCUUACAACUUGAGAAGCCCGAACUCGUACCGUUCAGGUUGACGCAGAAUAUGAUUGAUGGGUUGGGGAUUACAGGGUAUGAAGGCACCUUUUUGAAGGUUUGUGAGAUUACACUUUCAGUACUAAGGGAACACAGAGAAACUUUAAUGAGCGUUCUCGAGACUUUCAUCCAUGACCCGCUUGUAGAGUGGACUAAAACCCAUAAAUCGAGCGGAGUAGAGGUCCAAAACCCUCAUGCUCAGCGAGCCAUAAGCAAUAUCGAAGCACGAUUGCAAGGUAUUGUUGUUGGUGUGGGAGCAGCACCAUCGUUGCCCCUUGCUGUAGAAGGGCAAGUUCGUCGAUUAAUUGCUGAAGCAGUUUCACAUAAAAACCUUGGGAAAAUGUAUAUCUGGUGGAUGCCUUGGUUCUAAAAUCAUUUAUCAAGCCCAGUUUAAUCAAACAUAUAGGUUCAGCAUUCACAUGAUAGAAAAAACCUGUUGUUUCGGGAUAGACAAGGUGAGAAAUGGCAUCUGAUUUGGCAGGCGUCCAUGGCGUUGAUUGAUGUGAGAAAUCGCCUAGUUUGUAUACUCAGCGCUGUACAAUUUCCUGGUUGUUUAAACUUGUAUACAAGUUACAGGUGAUGAAAGUACGACCGAAGCGACAGCUGAAUACCGCUGGCCAUAAGGCAAUUUUGCAGGUGAAAAUGUUACCACCAACUCUCUAGCCUAUGGGUUUUCUUGUACAUGUUUUGGUGUAAUGUACAUGUUUUUCUUUCAAACAUUGCAUACAAGUAGCCAAAAAUACUAAAAAUUGUCUCUCUGUUCCUUAUAACGCCAUUAUAGUCUCAUUGAUUCAAAACUUCGAUAUAUAUAACACACACAGGGGAAGUGUGUUUUCAUCCA
Helianthus annuus (common sunflower) is the source of this 8543-nucleotide RNA transcript. It is a transcript of the gene named serine/threonine-protein kinase ATR, with no coding region annotated. The transcript is spliced from 17 exons. NCBI's taxonomy places the organism in Eukaryota, Viridiplantae, Streptophyta, Magnoliopsida, Asterales, Asteraceae. The record is from RefSeq and is a predicted model, not a curated record.